GCGACUCUCUGUCUGUAACUGACGCUGAGGCUCGAAAGCGUGGGGAGCAAACAGGAUUAGAUACCUGGUAGUCCACGCCGUAAACGAUGAGUGCUAAGUGUUGGAGGGUUCCGCCUUUCAGUGCUGCAGCUAACGCAUUAAGCACUCCGCAUGGGGAGUACGACCGCAAGGUUGAAACUCAAAGGAAUUGACGGGGGCCCGCACAAGCGGUGGAGCAUGUGUUAAUUCGAAGCAACGCGAAGAACCUUACCAGGUCUUGACAUCCUUUGACCACUCUAGAGAUAGAGCUUUCCCUUCGGGGACAAAGUGACAGGUGGUGCAUGGUUGUCGUCAGCUCGUGUCGUGAGAUGUUGGGUUAAGUCCCGCAACGAGCGCAACCCUUAUUGUUAGUUGCCAUCAUUCAGUUGGGCACUCUAGCGAGACUGCCGGUGACAAACCGGAGGAAGGUGGGGAUGACGUCAAAUCAUCAUGCCCCUUAUGACCUGGGCUACACACGUGCUACAAUGGGAAGUACAACGAGUCGCUAGGCCGCGAGGUCAUGCAAAUCUCUUAAAGCUUCUCUCAGUUCGGAUUGCAGGCUGCAACUCGCCUGCAUGAAGCCGGAAUCGCUAGUAAUCGCGGAUCAGCACGCCGCGGUGAAUACGUUCCCGGGCCUUGUACACACCGCCCGUCACACCACGAAAGUUUGUAACACCCGAAGUCGGUGAGGUAACCUUUUGGAGCCAGCUGCCUAAGGUGGGAUAGAUGAUUGGGGUGAAGUCGUAACAAGGUAACCAAGGGCGAAUUCUG
RNAcentral lists this ribosomal RNA (789 nucleotides) under uncultured Enterococcus sp. RNAcentral describes it as "bacterial SSU rRNA". It matches the Rfam family "Bacterial small subunit ribosomal RNA", at positions 721 to 1515 of the family's 1533-position model. Lineage: Bacteria; Bacillati; Bacillota; Bacilli; Lactobacillales; Enterococcaceae. The record is from RNAcentral.